GACGAACCGUGCGAACGUUGUUCGGAAUCACUGGGCUUAAAGGGCGCGUAGGCGGCUUAUCAAGUCGGGGGUGAAAUACUUCAGCUUAACUGGAGAAGUGCCUUCGAUACUGGUGGGCUUGAGGGAGGUAGGGGUCUGUGGAACUUCUGGUGGAGCGGUGAAAUGCGUUGAUAUCAGAAGGAACGCCGGUGGCGAAAGCGACGGACUGGACCUCUUCUGACGCUGAGGCGCGAAAGCUAGGGGAGCAAACGGG
Molecule: ribosomal RNA, 253 nt
Filed under: uncultured bacterium
Lineage: Bacteria
Description: partial 16S ribosomal RNA
Rfam family: Bacterial small subunit ribosomal RNA
Source: RNAcentral